UGAUGAGCCAGCCGUGUGGCGUGGCAGCAGUGUGCUUCCCUGUCGACUGUUCGCUGCAAGUGCUGAGGCCCACUUGAGCAGCAGAAAAACACAAUGGGACCCGGGGAGAAGCUCUGAUCUGAGUGGAGAUCCUUUUGUGUGCUGUACUCACUGAGGCAGGCAAUUCUACACCUGGACGGGGUCCUCUGAGACCACGCAGCCCAGCCUUGGUUCCCAGGCUUUGGGUCCACAUUAGCACCUUUGUUGAACACAGGCGUGGAUCCAGGAAUUAGCACGUGGGGCCAUCCAUCAAGUAUACUUCCUGCAGUGGGGGAUCUGAGUGGUGCAUCUCCUUGACUGCCACAUACAUGAACUCACUUAAUCUCACAACAGAUGAAAACCAGAGCGGUUAUACAACUUACCCAAAGUCGCACAGCUAAUGAGUGACACAGCUGGAUUUUAACCCAAGUCGUCUGAUGUCAGAGCUCAUAACAGGUGGAUAAAGUAGGCAGAUUAAAGUGGAUAAAAUAUCAAUCCAGAAUCAUUUUGUUCAGUGGAUAGAAGAAACAGCAGUAACAACCUCUCCGAUUAUAGUGAGUGGCUGGCUCCAUGAACCACUGUUUGUGCAUUUAAAUCACAAAAAUCUCAAUUUAGCUCUAUUUGGACUCGUAUCCUUAUAAGAGGAAAUUAGGACACAGUCAGGCACAGACAACAGACCAUGUGAGGACGGAGAAGACGGCCAUCGACAAGCCAAGGAGAAAGGCCUCAGAAGAAACCAACCCUGCUGACACCUUGAUCUCAGAUUUCUAGUCUCCAGAACUGACUGGUUCUCCAUUGGGAGGGAUAGAACUCUGUUAGGCCAAUGGAGUGGUGACUUUCCCACCACCCCAUCAAUCAUCAAGGUGGAACUGACAAAGGACAGCGACUCAGCUUCCAUCGCAGCAGGAACUAGGAUAUCCAUAUAGCAUCUCAGGAUGCCUGAGAGACCCACGCUGUUAUACAUCAGAAGGCGGACGGACUUCUCUCUGGGAGGAGGUGGAGAUAGGUGAAAACUCUCUGACCUCGACACCCGAACAGCCUAGUACCUGCAAGCAGCUUUCUUCCAGCGGACGCCUCCCAGAACAUCACCACACACCAAGGGCAGGAGGGAGCAUGCACCAGAGGAGCGACAAUGGAAACAGCUGGCUCUCUGCUGAUAUGGCUGGGGUGAAACUGAAGCGGGACCUUCACGCAGUGCCUGAAGAAGCUAGAGAAGCUAGUCAGUCACCCUGCUCUUCCUUGCCUCUCAAGAGGAGCUCUUAUGAGCUGGGAAAUUCCUUCUUGGCACUGAACGAUGCUGGCUUGGGGGCAUGGGUGGGAUGAUAGAGGCAAAAUGAAGUUGUCUUCCUUCUCUUCU
Molecule: long non-coding RNA, 1375 nt
Filed under: Equus caballus (horse)
Lineage: Eukaryota; Metazoa; Chordata; Mammalia; Perissodactyla; Equidae
Description: lncRNA (ENSECAG00000030318.3)
Source: RNAcentral